ACUCCUACGGGAGGCAGCAGUGAGGAAUAUUGCUCAAUGGGCGAAAGCCUGAAGCAGCAACGCCGCGUGCGCGAUGAAGGCCUUCGGGUCGUAAAGCGCUUUUGAGAGGGACGAGAUAGGACGGUACCUCUUGAAUAAGUCACGGCUAACUACGUACCAGCAGCCGCGGUAAU
This 173-nucleotide ribosomal RNA is filed under the name uncultured bacterium. Its description in RNAcentral is "partial 16S ribosomal RNA". It matches the Rfam family "Bacterial small subunit ribosomal RNA", at positions 335 to 524 of the family's 1533-position model. The record is from RNAcentral.